UCCUGCCUCGCGAAAAGUCGCCUACUGUGGCGGCCUGCCCCCAUCCAAAUGUGAUGGAUCGGGAUAGCGAGGCAGGUUGGG
This 81-nucleotide non-coding RNA is filed under the name unclassified sequences. RNAcentral's name for it is "DUF3800-IX RNA". It matches the Rfam family "DUF3800-IX RNA". Rfam says of the family: Actinobacteria, Firmicutes (1 example), Nitrospirae, Proteobacteria, Verrucomicrobia (1 example). Nearby to DUF3800 The record is from Rfam by way of RNAcentral.